GGGCCCGUAGCUCAGUUGGUCAGAGCACCUGGUUUACACCCAGGGUGUCAUCGGUUCGAAUCCGGUCGGGCCCA
This 74-nucleotide transfer RNA is filed under the name Actinotignum schaalii. Its description in RNAcentral is "tRNA-Val (TAC) (tRNA-Val-TAC-1-1)". It matches the Rfam family "tRNA". Rfam says of the family: Transfer RNA (tRNA) molecules are approximately 80 nucleotides in length. The record is from RNAcentral. RNAcentral also lists the same sequence under 13 other names. Lineage: Bacteria; Bacillati; Actinomycetota; Actinomycetes; Actinomycetales; Actinomycetaceae.